This 409-nucleotide unclassified non-coding RNA is filed under the name uncultured Funneliformis. RNAcentral's name for it is "sequence contains 28S rRNA gene". Lineage: Eukaryota; Fungi; Glomeromycota; Glomeromycetes; Glomerales; Glomeraceae. The record is from RNAcentral.
AGUUAAACAGUACGUGAAAUUGUUGAAAGGGAAACGAUUGAAGUCAGUCAUACUAACGGGAAAUCAACCUCUUGAGUUUGGUCUCGUGGGUUUCGAAGAGUUUUAAAAGCCUUCGGAUUUUCGAGAUUGGGCUCUUCUGGUGUACUUUCUCGUACGGUUAGUCAACAUCGGUUUUGAAUGUCAUAAAAUGACUGGAGGAAUGUGGCUUCGAUCUCGUAUUGAAGUGUUAUAGCCUUUGGUAGAUGUGAUGUUUGAGACCGAGGAUUGCAACGGAUACCCUUCUGGGCUAUUCGUCUGAUCUCUGAAACGUUGCCUUGAUGUCGAAAGCUUGCUUAUGAUGUUAGGGUAUUACGGUCAAAAGGUUAGAACGGAUUAAAUUCGUUAAGGAUGUUGACGUAAUGACUUUAAA